GAUGAACGCUGGCGGCGUGCCUAAUACAUGCAAGUCGAGCGAACAGACGAGGUGCUUGCUCCUCUGACGUUAGCGGCGGACGGGUGAGUAACACGUAGAUAACCUACCUAUAAGACUGGGUUAACUUCGGGAAAGCGGAGCUAACACCGGAUAAUAUAUUGAACGGCAUGGUCCAAUAGUGAAAGACGGUUUUGCUGUCACUUAUAGAUGGAUCCGCGCCGCAUUAGCUAGUUGGUAAGGUAACGGCUUACCAAGGCGACGAUGCGUAGCCGAGCUGAGAGGAUGAUCAGCCACACUGGAACUGAGACACGGUCCAGACUCCUACGGGAGGCAGCAGUGGGGAAUCUUGCGCAAUGGGCGAAAGCCUGACGGAGCAACGCCGCGUGAGUGAAGAAGGUCUUCGGAUCGUAAAACUCUGUUAUUAGGGAAGAACAAGUGUGUAUUAAACUAUGCACGUCUUGACGGUACCUAAUCAGAAAGCCACGGCUAACUACGUG
Molecule: ribosomal RNA, 497 nt
Filed under: uncultured bacterium
Lineage: Bacteria
Description: partial 16S ribosomal RNA
Rfam family: Bacterial small subunit ribosomal RNA
Source: RNAcentral